AUGGGUGGAAAAUCACCUGUGGUUUGAUCAUGGUCAUGGGUCAGAGUUGGCCCUCUGAGCCAGCAGGUCCUCAGCUUAUAACACACUCUUUGCUGUGGGGAGGUGAAAGCCAGACUCCAGCAAGG
Sorex araneus (European shrew) is the source of this 125-nucleotide small nucleolar RNA. RefSeq annotates it as small nucleolar RNA ACA64. NCBI's taxonomy places the organism in Eukaryota, Metazoa, Chordata, Mammalia, Eulipotyphla, Soricidae. The transcript has a single exon. The record is from RefSeq and is a predicted model, not a curated record.